RNAcentral lists this non-coding RNA (166 nucleotides) under Dethiosulfatibacter aminovorans. Its description in RNAcentral is "T-box sequence". It matches the Rfam family "T-box leader". Rfam says of the family: Uncharged tRNA acts as the effector for transcription antitermination of genes in the T-box leader family. T-boxes are found upstream of many aminoacyl-tRNA synthetase genes and some amino acid biosynthetic genes usually in Gram-positive bacteria. Lineage: Bacteria; Bacillati; Bacillota; Tissierellia. The record is from RNAcentral.
AAUAGAGCGUUGAAGGGGAGCAGUAGGCCGAAGGAAGAUUCAAGAGAGCUGUUGGAAGGUGUGAAACAGUAUUUUCAGAGGCUGAACUUACCCGUGAGCUUAAUUUAAAAUAAGAGAGACUUUUUGUCUAAAAUGGGUGGUACCGCGGAAGUUUUUCGUCCCAUGG